UUCCAGUAUGCGUCCAAGAUUCAUUCAUUUGUAUUUAGCUAUGUUUGAGAUGGCAUUACUGACUCCAUGGACAUGAACUUGGGCCAACUCCGGGAGAUGGUGGGCACAGGGAAGCCUGCUGUGCUGUAUUCCAUGGGGUCAUGAAGAGUUGGCCACAACUUGGUGACUGAACAACAACAACGUUUGAGAGGUCUGCACUGUGUGAAGACUGCUGGUACUGGGCUCCGGGAAGACUGAAGUGAUGAAGACUCAGCCUCUGGAUGCUGACAGCUUACAAGGGAAGGGUUCAUGCCAGCUUGAGAGUUUCAUGUCCUAGGACAGGCAGCCUGAAGUCAAGGGACCCCAGAGGAGGGAACACUUGUGUGUGAGAGUUCUGGGAGGAAGCAGCAUGGGGUUGAGCCCAAUAACAAAGUAGAGAACAAGGAACGUUAGGGGAAAGUUAACCACGCAAUUGAUAGCACAGAAGAGCAUGGCGGGAGACCAGGCCAAGAGGCCGGAAGGGGCUGAACCUGGAAGACUCCAGGGUGAGAGAGGGUGGAAGCUCAGGAGAGUGGCAGAAGGCUGGCUGCAGCCCCAGGUACUUCACUAAAGGGAGCUGCAACCUUGGUUUAAAAAAAAGGUCAAUGUCUCUGGUGUUCUGUUUCCACAUCUUAAGAGAAGGGAUAGGAAACCAGAUCAUCUUCAUUCCUUGCAGGAGGACUAUGAGCAAGAAAGUAACAUGAGUCAAGCUGCAUCUCAGGCUGAUGAAACCUGAGGAGAAGGGGAGUGGGACCCAUGUGUUCUCCCCAGGCAGGUGACUGAAAGAGAGUCUCUCGCCUGGGAGAGAAAGAAGCUUUCGAUAACAGCGGAGUUAUAGUAAAGAAACAGAAGCAAUAUAUUGAACCAUAACUAAGUAUCUUCCAUAAAAAAAAAAAGUAAACCCCAAGAACUCUUUCCUGAAUCUUAAUCAACAGAACUGACCUUCACAGAAAGGUAAUUUGGGACAUUUCUAUGGAGAUUAGAGGGGCCUCUAAAACAAUGAGAACAUCACCGACUUGAUGGACAUGAGUUUGAGCAAGCUCCAGGAGUUGGUGAUGGAUAAGGAAGCCUGGUGUGUUGCAGUCCAUGGGGUCACAAAGAGCUGGACACGACUGAGCUACUGAACUGAACGAGAAACAGUGG
Long non-coding RNA from Bos taurus (domestic cattle), 1161 nucleotides. NCBI's taxonomy places the organism in Eukaryota, Metazoa, Chordata, Mammalia, Artiodactyla, Bovidae. The record is from Ensembl.